CCAUCGCCGAGGCUAUGAUCCUUCUGUUCAAAAGAACUUAAGUCUACAUUUCACUAUUUGUUACCGAGCCGUUCACGAAGAAGUUUUUCGUGCGAGCAAAACAAGAGAGUUGUUCUAUAAACAGUACCAAUCUGCCCGAGUAGCUCGAUCUUCACACCGGUAUGUUAAAUGCCCUUCUACAAGACAAAGUAAAACAAUUAGCGGAAAGAAAUAGAAAUCGAUACAUAGCUUCUGGUAUCACUCCCGGCGAAUCACGCAAGGCGAUUUGAAAGCGAGAAAGAGAUAAUAUAAACAAAGAUCAUUACGUGGCACAAUGUGGAAGUGACACCUGUCACAUUAUUCUCUUAUCUACUUAGAACCGUAUACCCGUAUUAAAAGGUUGUGGAAGCAAAGCCUGGCCUCCCCAAAUCAAACUCUUGGCAGCAUUUGAUGUUUCCGUUGUCGUUGUAGAGGCAAUCUUUGAGGUCGAUGGUGCUGGUCACAGUGCUUCCGUCCUCGGCCUUGCAAGUUGCACUGAAAUCGCGUUCACCGAAAAAGAGAUCUGCUGCCAAAUGGAAU
This 558-nucleotide long non-coding RNA is filed under the name Selaginella moellendorffii. RNAcentral's name for it is "long non-coding RNA (SMOE_LNC000282)". Lineage: Eukaryota; Viridiplantae; Streptophyta; Lycopodiopsida; Selaginellales; Selaginellaceae. The record is from RNAcentral.